RNAcentral lists this ribosomal RNA (491 nucleotides) under uncultured bacterium. RNAcentral describes it as "bacterial SSU rRNA". It matches the Rfam family "Bacterial small subunit ribosomal RNA", at positions 28 to 514 of the family's 1533-position model. The record is from RNAcentral.
GAUGAACGCUAGCGGCAGGCUUAACACAUGCAAGUCGAGGGGUAUAGGAAGCUUGCUUCCUUGAGACCGGCGCACGGGUGCGUAACGCGUAUGCAACCUACCUUUUACAGAGGGAUAGCCCAGAGAAAUUUGGAUUAAUACCUCAUGGUAUAUAUCAUUCGCAUGUUUGAUAUAUUAAAGUUCCAACGGUAAAGAUGGGCAUGCGUCCUAUUAGCUAGAUGGUAAGGUAACGGCUUACCAUGGCAACGAUAGGUAGGGGUCCUGAGAGGGAGAUCCCUCACACUGGUACUGAGACACGGACCAGACUCCUACGGGAGGCAGCAGUGAGGAAUAUUGGACAAUGGGCGCAAGCCUGAUCCAGCCAUGCCGCGUGCAGGAUGAAGGCCCUCGGGUUGUAAACUGCUUUUGUACGGAACGAAAAGGUUUCUCUUAAUACGAGGAGCUCAUGACGGUACCGUAAGAAUAAGCACCGGCUAACUACGUGCCAGCAG